Apus apus (common swift) is the source of this 901-nucleotide long non-coding RNA. RefSeq lists it as uncharacterized. The record is from RefSeq and is a predicted model, not a curated record. The transcript has 3 exons. NCBI's taxonomy places the organism in Eukaryota, Metazoa, Chordata, Aves, Apodiformes, Apodidae.
UGAGCUUGGCAGCACAGCCUGUGAAUAGGAUUCAAAAACUGGAAGGAACACAACAAGCAGCAUGAGAAGGGCUGUUGGGGCAUCUAUGCUCCUGUGAGCGUGGAUGAAUCAUUGCAUCCUCUAGGACUGUGUGACCUGGCAGUAGUGGAUGUCCUACUUGCACGAGGAAGGUGCCAUAAAGAGACAUAGUUACCAUUAAAUUCGAACCAAGACAGCAUAAGGGUAAAAGCUGAAUGUUUAAGAACUAAUGGUUUUAUCUUCUCAGACUGUGGACUGAGAUUAAUCUUUAACAUCUUAUAAUUCUAUGACGCAUAUUGGAUUAUGACUCAAUAAUGACAUUUGAACUAUCCAUACAGUGCAAGCUUGAAGUCUACUGUAAAAGAGAAGUAAAAUGUAAUGCAAAUAGAAACAAACAAACAAAACUUAUUGUAUUGUGUAGUAAUGACUCAAGAAAACUAAUGAAGCAAAUGACAUGGCAAGAAGACCAGUGGGUAUUUUGGUUAGUUCCUGGUACAACUAAGGAAACCACAAAACCACAUCAAUCCCUAGUCUGCUCAACCAGUUAAAACAGAAAACAUUUCUGGUUUUGCUUCUAGAACUGCAAACCACAAGAACAAAGAAAAUUUAGCUUAUUCUCAAGUGUUAACCUGGUUUACUUUCAAAACCUCAGUGACAACAAAACUAGCAUCUUGGUGCAGUGCUUGGGUGUGACAUGAAGAAAGACAUAUAAGCACUUGUACCUUGUAUGACUCAUGAGCGGUAAAAACUUAAUUCUGACUAUUUCACACUUCUUCCAGAUGGAACAAAAUUACCCCUGAUUCCUGCAAGAAUCAACAUAUCUCCUAGCCACAUUUUAUACCACGCUACAAAGCGAAAAGACGGUUAUCAGUGUAUUUAAAUA